This 391-nucleotide unclassified non-coding RNA is filed under the name soil metagenome. RNAcentral's name for it is "partial contains 5.8S ribosomal RNA, internal transcribed spacer 2, and large subunit ribosomal RNA". The stretch from base 1 to 122 matches the Rfam family "5.8S ribosomal RNA", at positions 35 to 154 of the family's 154-position model. The record is from RNAcentral.
GAUGAAGAACGCAGCGAAAUGCGAUACUUGGUGUGAAUUGCAGAAUCCCGUGAACCAUCGAGUCUUUGAACGCAAGUUGCGCCCGAAGCCAUUAGGCCGAGGGCACGCCUGCCUGGGCGUCACACGUCGUUGCCCCCCCAUCUACUCCUUCGGGAUUGCGGGGGGCGGAUGAUGGUCUCUCGUGCGCCUCGUCGCGCGGUUGGCCUAAAUGCCAAGUCCUCGGCGACGCACGCCACGACAAUCGGUGGUUGCGAAACCUCGGUUGCCUGUCGUGUGCGGUCGUCGCGCAUCGAGGGCUCGAAAAAAUUGCCGGGCUUCGGCUCGACUUUCAACGCGACCCCAGGUCAGGCGGGGUUACCCGCUGAAUUUAAGCAUAUCAAUAAGCGGAGGA